This 253-nucleotide ribosomal RNA is filed under the name uncultured bacterium. RNAcentral describes it as "partial 16S ribosomal RNA". It matches the Rfam family "Bacterial small subunit ribosomal RNA", at positions 524 to 776 of the family's 1533-position model. The record is from RNAcentral.
UACGGAGGGGACUAGCGUUGUUCGGAAUUACUGGGCGUAAAGCGCGCGUAGGCGGAUUUGCAAGUCGGGGGUGAAAGCCCGAGGCUCAACCUCGGAACUGCCCUCGAUACUGCAAAUCUCGAGUCCGAGAGAGGUGAGUGGAAUUCCUAGUGUAGAGGUGAAAUUCGUAGAUAUUAGGAAGAACACCAGUGGCGAAGGCGGCUCACUGGCCCGAUACUGACGCUGAGGCACGAAAGCGUGGGGAGCAAACAGG